This 238-nucleotide ribosomal RNA is filed under the name uncultured bacterium. RNAcentral describes it as "partial 16S ribosomal RNA". It matches the Rfam family "Bacterial small subunit ribosomal RNA", at positions 333 to 585 of the family's 1533-position model. The record is from RNAcentral.
GAUAUCCUACGGGGGGCAGCAGUGGGGAAUAUUGGGCAAUGGGCGCAAGCCUGACCCAGCAACGCCGCGUGAAGGAAGAAGGCUUUCGGGUUGUAAACUUCUUUUCUCAGGGACGAAGAAAGAGACGGUACCUGAGGAAUAAGCCACGGCUAACUACGUGCCAGCAGCCGCGGUAAUACGUAGGUGGCAAGCGUUAGCCGGAUUUAUUGGGUGUAAAGGGCGUGUAGGCGGGAGGGGA